This is a long non-coding RNA of Capsicum annuum, 3609 nucleotides long. RefSeq lists it as uncharacterized. The record is from RefSeq and is a predicted model, not a curated record. The transcript is spliced from 4 exons. Lineage: Eukaryota; Viridiplantae; Streptophyta; Magnoliopsida; Solanales; Solanaceae.
CUUUUAUUAGAAGAGCAGGAAUUGCAAUGAUCAAACAUUUCAGAAUUUGAAAUUGGAAUUGAAAACUUCUGUAAGAGUGUUUAAGCACUCUUUUAUUUGGGUUUCCUAAUUUUCUAUGCCAAGACUGUUGAAAUUCUGUCAUAUAGGAUUGGUAGCUCAGAUUGCAUUGGGAUCCUCCAACAGGCCACUCAAAAGUCCUUCUUUAUCCUAGCCUCGUGCCAACAGUGCCCCCGUACUCACAUCCUUCACAAGAAAAUCAAAAGGAAAAAUUCUAUGGAUGUCAGAUUAUCUUUGCAAAAUUGAGACACAGAUAUAAAGUUACGUUUAAUCUCUGGUGCACACAAAGUAUUUGAAAGAUGAAACUUUUUAUUUGAAGCAUUUAUUUGAAUUUGGCCAUUGUGAGUGAUCGAAUCAUACUCAGGUCCUAGACCGCUGAGAAUUUUGACCGCAAGUUCGUCAUCUGGAAUGGGAGUUCCAGCAGUUGCAAGUUCAUCAACAACAUUCCUAGUCUUGCCGUACAGGUUAUGCAGUAUGUCCCACGCUUGCUUUGAGGUGGAAGUUUUGGCGAUUGCAGAGGUGAUUGUAGGAUCAACAGAUUCCAUUAAGGCAUUGCAUAUCAACUGGUCUUGGCGAAACCAGAGUUUGUACUUGGGAAUGGGUACCUCUUGGUUGUUGAGGGUUACCGUUUUUUAUGGUGCUGUCAAGGUUUUUGACAUAAAACGUUACUGCAAUUGCAGAUGUUGACAAUUACAACCUCAGUGCUCUACCAGAUAAGGAGGAAAUUACACAGGCAAUUUUAUAGGAUGAAUUGUGAUAGCUUUGCAGGCCUUGAUGGAUUUAACAGUAAAUUUUUUCAGGUAUGCUGGAGUAUUAUUGAGGAAGAUAUUGUAGAAUUUGUUAAAAAAAAAAAAAAAUCCUUGGUAAAGAAACUGACUAGAUUAUAGGAUGAAUUGUGAUAGCUCUUCAGGCCCUGAUGGACUUAACAGUAAAUUUUUUCAGGUAUGAUGGUGAUGGCUUAUACAUUUAAAAGAAAGGUCGUUUAGCUAUCUAUGUUUCUAAAUGCAGUGUCUAUGUAAAGAAGGAAGGGAAUACUAGUUGUUCUCCCAGUUCUAGCGAUGACCACUAACUGUAUAUUUAGAUAAAUCUCUGAGUUCAACAACUAAAUUUAGCUUAUUGCUUCGUAAAACAAUUUUUUUCUUUCAAAUCAUAAUCAUGGAUUUGGUUGUUAGUAGUUUCCUCUCAACAUUUGAUCAGAAAUUGACAGUUGGAGGAGAUGGUUUUUAUGAUCAAAGCUGCACUUCUUCUGGAAUAGUUAAAUGAUGUGGCUCUGCGGAUGAUAGUCCAUCGAUGGACGAUGAACUGAUGGUUUGCAAUGAAGCUUAGAGUUAUUAACUUAUUAUGAUGCUACACAGUAAUAAAAAUAUAAAAAAAAAUUGAAAUGGAGUUGCAGUAAAAAAGUAUGCUUUUGGUGUUACAUGAAAAGUUUUUCUGAAGUUUCACCUCUCAGCUAAUAACUGGUCGCAUAAGAGCCUGUUCUUGAUUUUCCAACAUUUAGCAUGCCCUUAUAGAGCUGCGUAAGGAAGAAUCUAUCCAAUGUGCCAUAGGUGUUUAUUCGAUCACUUGAAAAUAUAAACUUCUUUAUGUUUGAAUAGCAUGGAAUUCUUGUAGAACUUAAUGCAUGGACAAACUCUUUGUUCCUACUUUUCCCUUGUGAUCCAUCUGAAGAUUGAUCGCUGGUCUUGUUCAUACAACUUUCAAUUUUUUUAUCAUAUUUUCUAUGCACUUGUGACAAACAAUAUUUCUGUAUCUUUCAGUCCUGAUCCACUAUAUUAUAGUACGAAUCAACAAUCAACUACACUUCAAUUCUAACUAGAUGGAACAGCUACUAGGAGUUCUUAGGACUGAACUAUCAUUGGCUAUUUAAUGCUUCUCAGAAGACGGGCAGGUUCAGUACAGAUCGAAACCACUGUAUGCAAUUCAACUACUCUUUUCUGUCUAACCAAUUAUGGCAGUUCCUGCUGUUAUUAAUGAAAGAUAAGUCUCGAAACUCCAACUUACUUGAACAUGUUAUCCGUGAUGAUUGGAGCUCUCCUGAGUCCAUGGGAUCAUUCCUUAUUAAACAGUAUAUCCGAUGAACCACAUGUUGCAGCCCAUUAUUAAAUUCACAUAAAUGAACGAACUAUUAACAAUGUGUAUGCAAUAAACACUUUUCACGCUGUAUGACCUCUAGAAUAUAAGACUGUUCUGAGAUAUUGAGAAAAUAUAUUCGUUUUCUCGACAUAACAUGUAAGGUUUUUAAAUUCUAAUGCUUUUUUUAUUACCACCUGAGAGGAUGCAAGUGUGGAACCUUUGGGCAUUUUUAUCUACCUAUAUAUUAUGUCCAGUAGAAUUUAUUAAGCCUGUAGUGAUUCUGCUCCUUUUCUGUCAUGAAUACUGAUGAUUCCUCAUUGUUUGCAGCUAGCAAUGAGCAGAAGAGCUGGGCAAAAUAAAUCCGAAUUGUGUGAGUUGACUGGUUCUGAAACAUUAGGUUCUAUCUUACGAGUCCAGUCAUGUUCAGAUGAAGCCAUUGAAGUUUCAAAAUGCUCAAUUCAGUGGUAUCGUUUAUCAUCUGAAUGCAGCAGAAGAGAACCUGUUGUUGGUGAUUAUUGCACAGAUGAAUGGACAGAACUACUAAUCACGUUCUGCUCACUGCAAUUCCAUGUAGGGAAAACAAAGCUUAAGUUGGGCAAAGGAUGGAUUACAAAAGCUAGAGAUUCGUAUUCUGGAUCUAUGCAGGUACUUGGUGAGUAGUUCAUUCAUGGUCCGAUCCAAUAGCCUAGCCGGCUACUAAUGUUGACUAUUCAGUUUGAGUUAUUACAUGAGCUUCAUAGGUUCUUUCAGUUAUUCACAACUUCUCACAUUGUUCACAACCAAACAUUUAGCGAGAACUGCAUGUAUCUUAUCCCGCAAAACACUUCAAUGUAAGUAGCUUCUGUUUGUUUCUUCAACUUCAGCUGUGAAUCUUUUCUUAGUUAUACAUUACUCUAUCCACUGUGCCUCAAUCCCAUGAUCACUAAGUUAAACAACUAGUGUCAUUAAGGUAUAGUGAGUUGUUGCUCGGACUCUCCAUAAAUGCUGCCGCACUGGUGUUGGAUCCAUAAAAAAAGCUUUAUUUUUAGAGGAUCUGACGCACAUCCGUCAACAUUUUUGAAAUGUCCGAGCGACAUGGAAUGAGUGCAACGGCAUUCCGCCAUCGCAUGUCUAAACGCCUACUAAGGCAAAUUUAAUUGUUUUUUAAAAUUUGCAGGUAAUUCUUGCUGGACCUGAUGAUGAUGCUUUGCUUUAGACAUAUAGUGAUUUCCAAGUUAUUUUCACUGAUGAAAGAGUCACUUAAUUAGUUUUUUCUUUUAUUUUUGGUGAGUAUAAUUAGGUUCUUUUUUUCUUCUUCUAAAUGUGAGUGAUCGAUUUCUUGUUAUAUUUUAGUAAUGAAACAUGUCCUUGUCAUUGUAAUUUUUUUUCUCACUAAUUAGUUACAUCCUUUCUAGGCAAUGGUCCUUUUUUUAGGUUUGCCUGAUUUUGGGUUGUAACAAAUUUUACUAAUUGAUUGGUCCAUUUUCAUUUUAAUGAAAU